This 465-nucleotide ribosomal RNA is filed under the name Vreelandella stevensii. RNAcentral describes it as "partial 16S ribosomal RNA". It matches the Rfam family "Bacterial small subunit ribosomal RNA", at positions 338 to 795 of the family's 1533-position model. Lineage: Bacteria; Pseudomonadati; Pseudomonadota; Gammaproteobacteria; Oceanospirillales; Halomonadaceae. The record is from RNAcentral.
CCUACGGGAGGCAGCAGUGGGGAAUAUUGGACAAUGGGGGGAACCCUGAUCCAGCCAUGCCGCGUGUGUGAAGAAGGCCCUCGGGUUGUAAAGCACUUUCAGUGAGGAAGAACGCCUGGUGGUUAAUACCCAUCAGGAAAGACAUCACUCACAGAAGAAGCACCGGCUAACUCCGUGCCAGCAGCCGCGGGAAUACGGAGGGUGCGAGCGUUAAUCGGAAUUACUGGGCGUAAAGCGCGCGUAGGUGGCUUGAUAAGCCGGUUGUGAAAGCCCCGGGCUCAACCUGGGAACGGCAUCCGGAACUGUCAAGCUAGAGUGCAGGAGAGGAAGGUAGAAUUCCCGGUGGAGCGGUGAAAUGCGUAGAGAUCGGGAGGAAUACCAGUGGCGAAGGCGGCCUUCUGGACUGACACUGACACUGAGGUGCGAAAGCGUGGGUAGCAAACAGGAUUAGAUACCCUGGUAGUC